ACUGCUAUCAGAGUGGGACUAAGCCAUGCGAGUCAACAUAGCAAUAUGUGGCAUACGGCUCAGUAACACGUAGUCAACAUGCCCAGGGGACGUGGAUAACCUCGUGAAACUGAGGAUAAACCGCGAUAAGUCACUACUUCUGGAAUGGGUAAUGACUCAAAUCUAUAUGGCCCCUGGAUUGGACUGCGGCCGAUCAGGCUGUUGGUGAGGUAAUGGCCCACCAAACCUGUAACCGGUACGGGCUCUGAGAGGAGGAGCCCGGAGAUGGGCACUGAGACAAGGGCCCAGGCCCUAUGGGGCGCAGCAGGCGCGAAACCUCUGCAAUAGGCGAAAGCUUGACAGGGUUACUCUGAGUGAUUUCCGUUAAGGAAAUCUUUUGGCACCUCUAAAAAUGGUGCAGAAUAAGGGGUGGGCAAGUCUGGUGUCAGCCGCCGCGGUAAUACCAGCACCCCGAGUGGUCGGGACGUUUAUUGGGCCUAAAGCAUCCGUAGCCGGUUCUACAGGUCUUCCGUUAAAUCCAACUGCUUAACAGGUGGGCUGCGGAAGAUACUAUAGAGCUAGGAGGCGGGAGAGGCAAGCGGUACUCGAUGGGUAGGGGUAAAAUCCGUUGAUCCAUUGAAGACCACCAGUGGCGAAGGCGGCUUGCCAGAACGCGCUCGACGGUGAGGGAUGAAAGCUGGGGGAGCAAACCGGAUUAGAUACCCGGGUAGUCCCAGCUGUAAACGAUGCAGACUCGGUGAUGAGUUGGCUAUAUGCCAACUCAGUGCCGCAGGGAAGCCGUUAAGUUUGCCGCCUGGGGAGUACGGUCGCAAGACUGAAACUUAAAGGAAUUGGCGGGGGAGCACCACAAGGGGUAAGCCUGCGGUUCAAUUGG
RNAcentral lists this ribosomal RNA (874 nucleotides) under uncultured archaeon. Its description in RNAcentral is "bacterial SSU rRNA". It matches the Rfam family "Archaeal small subunit ribosomal RNA", at positions 26 to 909 of the family's 1478-position model. The record is from RNAcentral.